Molecule: long non-coding RNA, 1110 nt
Filed under: Oncorhynchus kisutch (coho salmon)
Lineage: Eukaryota; Metazoa; Chordata; Actinopteri; Salmoniformes; Salmonidae
Description: lncRNA (ENSOKIG00005036999.1)
Source: RNAcentral
AUGGGAGGGAGGGAGGGAGGGAGAGAGACAGAGGGAGACGGAAGGGAGGAGGGAGAGAGACAGAAGGAGAUGGGAGGGAGGGAGGGAGGGAGAGGCAGAGGGAGACGGAAGGGAGGAGGGAGAGAGACAGAAGGAGAUGGAAGGGAGGGAGAGGCAGAGGGAGACGGAAGGGAGGGAGGGAGAGGCAGAGGGAGACGGAAGGGAGGAGGGAGAGAGACAGAAGGAGAUGGAAGGGAGGGAGAGAGACAGAGGGAGAUGGAAGGGAGGGAGAGAGACAGAGGGAGAUGGAAGGGAGGGAGAGAGACAGAGGGAGAUGGAAGGGAGGGAGAGAGACAGAGGGAGAUGGAAGGGAGGGAGAGAGACAGAGGGAGAUGGAAGGGAGGGAGAGAGACAGAGGGAGAUGGAAGGGAGGGAGAGAGACAGAGGGAGAUGGAAGGGAGGAGGGAGAAAGACGAAGGGAGGAGGGAGAGAGACGAAGGGAGGAGGGAGAUGGAAGGGAGGGAGAGAGACAGAGGGAGAUGGAAGGGAGGGAGAGAGACAGAGGGAGAUGGAAGGGAGGGAGAGAGACAGAGGGAGAUGGAAGGGAGGGAGAGAGACAGAGGGAGAUGGAAGGGAGGGAGAGAGACAGAGGGAGAUGGAAGGGAGGAGGGAGAAAGACGAAGGGAGGAGGGAGAGAGACGAAGGGAGGAGGGAGAGAGACGAAGGGAGGAGGGAGAUGGUGGUCCUUGUGUUGGUUUACAUGAGAAAAGGAAGGAAGGAGGGAGGGGUAGGAGAGGAGUGGUGGAGGAGGAGAGAAAAAGAGAGGAGGGAGGGAGGAGAGGAAUGGAGAAGGAGGGAAGGAGAGGAGUGGAGUGGAGGGGGAGAGAGGAGGGAGGAGAGGAAUGGGGAAGGAGGGAAGGAGAGGAGUGGAGGGAAGGGAAGGAGGGAAGGAGAGGAGUGGAGGGAGUGGAGUGGAGGAGGAGAGAGGGAGAGAGGAGGGAGGGAGGAGAGGAAUGGGGAAGGAGGGAAGGAGAGGAGUGGAGGGAGUGGAGUGGAGGAGGAGAGAGGGAGAGAGGAGGGAGGGAGGAGAGGAAUGGGGAAGGAGGGGGAGAGGAGGAUACUGUGUAUUGA